Long non-coding RNA from Alligator mississippiensis (American alligator), 7502 nucleotides. RefSeq lists it as uncharacterized. The record is from RefSeq and is a predicted model, not a curated record. The transcript is spliced from 2 exons. Lineage: Eukaryota; Metazoa; Chordata; Crocodylia; Alligatoridae.
GCCCGCUGCCGAGGCAGGCAGGAGUUGAACAGAUCUAUUGGAAUGAUUCAUAGUUUGCCUGUGUCACGUGCACAUACGGGGUUUUAACCCUUCCUUCGAACUACAACAGGAGCAUCUCGGAGGACAGACGUGUUCGCAAAGCACCAACGCGCUCUCCCACGGGAACACGCAGCGGGCCGCGCUCGGAUCCCCGCUUCCCCCCGGCCGUGUCACCUUUCCAGCCGACAGUAUUUACCUACACACGCGGCUUGUGUUUAGGAAUUUUAAAAAUUAUUUUCGGCUGAGAGUCGGUUCGUAUAAUAGGGCGUUAAUGAGGCAGGGAUGAAGAUGAAGUCGGAUGACUACAUAAAAGCUCCGCAAGAUCCGGGAGAAGGGUGCUUGUGCCCAAAAGUUUGCAAACAACUUUGUCCCAACUACUCCGUUGGUCUAAGAAAAGAUCUCACAUCUACCCAAGGACCCUUGCCUGUCAAAAGAUCCAACUAUUUAGCUGAAUGAGAUGAGAAAAAAUCCUCUUAAAUUUUGUUUUUGUUGUUUGAAUAGUUAGGUGAACUUCUAUUUGUAGAUUAGGAUAUUUUAAUAUUAGACCUGGAAAACCAAGCAACUUCUUCUGCCGCAGCCCGGCACAUACUUUUGAAGAGUGUCAGAAACCCCGCCAUGGCACUAAGGAUAGGUCAAGAGAUAAUGGCAUCAAAGAAACUCUAGACAAUACUUCAAACAAAAAAGGAGACUCGGAUCUAGUCCAUCUGUAUAACUGUGGUAUCUUUGGUGCUGGAUUUAGGAUGUCUCCUGUGUGCAGAUUUCUACUGUAGUGUCAGAAAAAAUAAAUAAAGGGACUGGUAAAGGUAUGCAGCAGGUAGAUCUAGAACAGAGAAGUUAAAGGCUCUCUGCCCAUGGGACUUCUGGAAACAGUAAGGGAAAGGUUUUAAUCAACUAACAAAUACGAGCAAGGGAUUGAGAGUCGAGACCAUAAGCUGUAAUUCAGCGACUGUGGCCGCAUCUACAUGUUCAUUAAUAUGCCUUAGAUACUGCACAUUUAGUCUAGUAUUUCCUUAAUAAAGUACUAACUAAAUGCAGAGUACCGAAAAGUUACUGCACAGUAACACCGGCACACAGUUAUUUAGUGACGCUUACUGCACAGUAGCCUAACAACACUGCGCAGUAGGGUAUUAGCACAGUCUGUGCCGUGACAUGCUACUGUGCGGGGCCUGCAAAUUUUAAUGUGCUUUUUUAUGGUAUCUACUUCUUGGGCAACAGGAGUGUUUUUAUAGUAUAUCAGCACUGGUUUCCAUGAUGUGCCCAAAAGAACUGCAAAAAUAAUUUACACGUGUGCCGAUUUUACGUUCUAGUGCAGACUCCGUGCCAUUAAACACUUAGUGAUAAACAGAGUUAUUAGGGAAGGUGUGCUUAUAACAUAAUCGGACAGUGAAGCAGAGGUUCUAGGUAUAUGAGAACAAAAGCCCUUUCUCAAAACCCCAAGCUUAUAUAAUCCAAAACCGGUUGGUCUGGCCAGCAAUAGGUGCAGGAAUGUCUAUUCACAAGUAAAUAUCAGGGGAGAAAUCCUGGCUCGAACUGGAGCCAGCAAGUUGUACUACUGCCUUGAAGAGAAGCAGGAUAUUCCUCCAGUCUCUCGCAGCCUACAGACUGUAUUGCCGAAGUCUGAAAAAGUCCUGUAGGUUUCAGAUUCCUGUAGUCUUCAUCAAGUGCACAAGUAUCACAGGGAAUAAGACCCAUAACUACUUGCAACUCAUGACAACAAUGAGUUGACCAGAAUAAUUCAAAUUCAACUGAAACAACGUUCAAAAUUCUGCCGCGCUUUCGACAUCGGUAGAAAGAGGGAGGAAUCUCGCACUGGCUUCUCGCUACGGCCAGCUGCUUCUCACUGAAUUUUACUGACACGUGACUACGCGGCUAUCGUUAUUACACAAAUCGCUGUUUUGUUUCCUUUUCUAGCCAGACAGCUUAAAUGCCAGGAUAAUUUUUCAAAAACACAGACCUAUCUUGGAGUUGAAUUCAUUGUCACUAAAUCUGCAUAUUUGGUACUAGUGAUGUACUGGCAUCCCCUCUUCAAAACGACUUCACUAACUAUAAAGUAAGAUCCUAAAGGUUGUCUGUACAAGACCCAAUCAUUUUAAGAAGAAUCGAAAAAAAAAGUUAAAAACCACACGAAUUGGAAGCACAUUAAGAAGAGGGCUAAGUACAGACAGCCAAAAAGCCUGGGGCUGAAUUGAUUCAAUCUUUACAGCCUAGAGUUCAUCUUAGCAGCCAGAAGCAAAGAAAUGGGCGUUCACUUUUCCACAAAGUUCAGAUGCUCAAUUCCUGGCGACAGGCAUCAGAAAUGCCAGGAGGUGAUGCUUGCUCUCCUGUGUACGUUUACGACGUCUUUCUUUGCUGUAAAUAAUCAUAAAACUCAACUGUGUGAUGUCGUAUCAGGAAUCAAGUCAAGACGUUAGAAUAUAACUUGAUAAAUGACCCAACAUCUGCUUUCGGAUGAUGAGUAAGAACGAGAAAAAAAGAUACAGCUCUCUGGACCAGGUGCCUUUUAAACAUCUGAGCAAAUCCAUCGGUUAAAAUCACGUUCAUAAAACAUUUCACUUCUGCAAGCGUAUACCCAGCCACCAGGAAAGACCGGCUCCGAGACGCUCGUUCCCUUUCGCUCUACGCACUCCUCACCCUCCUCCCUUCUAACCUUCCCUUUCAUUUUUUACCACUCGUUUCAGAGACAAAUCUCAGUGCCCUCGUCAUUCAUUAGCCUUUCCCCAGGCAAUUCUAGAGCUGGAUGACUGUGUUAGCAGUGGGCGCCAAGGCUUUUCCUAGGACUGUUAGCCUAAAGGGGUAAUAGUUAUGAGAGCUGUGCAUGACUAAUCUCCUCCCAAGGGCAACAGGUCACGUACGCUGUGAGCAAACAGGCUUCCCUAGCCCGGUGAGAAGUUCGGCAUGCCUGGGAGUCGUUCCCGGGCGUAAACUGAGAGGCGCAGCAAUUAGUGACUUACAACCCGUAUUUGUAACCCAGCCUUCCCAACGCUAAUCGCCGAGGCACCACGUAAAAGCAAACCGUGUUAGCAAGCCAUGCCCCACACCUGCGGGGCCACCCUUAACACCGAAAGUGCUGGGUUGCUUUGCUUUGAAAUGCUUUCUUCUUAGUAGCUUAACCUCUGCCUGUUUGAAAGAGUCCAACUUACAGAGAAAGGAGUUCCCAGUAUUUCCAGCCAGCAAGAAUUGACUACUCCUUCCAUCUACUCUGCCUCGUCAAAAGUUUGUCAUGAUCUCUUCAACAGCGUGGGGCAUUACUGCCAUGGCAAAGUUCCAGUUUUACUUCUGGUUGAACCUCAGUACCCGAAUUACUGCCUCUUUACGCUUCCUGUGUGGCUGAAAGGAGGUGGGGGAAAAAAUCACUGGAGGAUCCAUUCUGUUCUGGCCUUUGUUGGGCUGCUUUAAAAAUUAAUAAGCUAUUAUGCACACUUUACUACAUUUGUCCUUAGAAAACUAGUACAAGUGCUGACUCGAGACUUCCUGCAACACUAAAUUUAGCAUGUUUUGACUGUGUCAGAUGAACACAUUACUAGAUAGAUAGAUAGAUAGAUAGAUAGAUAGAUAGAUAGAUAGAUAGAUAGAUAGAUAGAUAGUCUUCAGAACUAAUUAUUGCCAGACUGUGAUCAAAGUCAGUAAAGUGUCUUAAUCCAACACCUACAUGCUGACAAGGAAUAUUCCCAGAGUACGCAGUGUAGAAGUUGUUAUGCAUUGCUCAUAAAUUUCUUUAAAGCAUAUAUGCAGCUGAUUCCAAGAAUAUAUACUUCAUUUUAUCUGUCUACUGUACAACUAGCGGCUCUAGAUCUGUAUCAUUACUAUUUCAAAAGCUUUAAAAAAACCCAAAAACCAAAAAACAAGUUUAUACUAUUGUGUUCGGAUACACAAAACCCACAUAAAAAGGGGCAGAUUCAAGAUAUUAUGGUGAGUCUUUUCACCUAAGUCACUGAAAUAUUUUAACUCUCCAUUUUCCAUGUACUUCGAUUGCUUGGCCCUCCUUGAAAGGGUAUCAGCUUUCUUCACUGCUGGGGGAAGAGCCAUGCCUGUUCACACUCGUACCUAAACAGCGACCUGCACCUAUUUUACAGGUUUGCAAAAGCGCUGCCUAUUUCUUCCAGGUACUACAUGUUCCAGUACUAUCAUCUAUGGGGCAACAAUUUUGUGCAAUAAUCUUUCCAGAAGCAAAAAUUGCUCAGAACCUUUGCAGCUCUGUUUUAAUUAAAAACCCCCACAUUAUGUUCAUCAAUAUUUAAGCACAGAGCUUAGGGGCAGGACGGAUCUAUUUCAGGACACCUUCAUAAUUCACAAAGAACGAUGCUAUUAGGUUCACACAUGAGAAUAAGUUUACAAGCUUAUUAGCCAGAGUUAAAAAUAAGUGUUGUACAAGAGGCUCUAUUCCUAGCAAUUAAGCAAACAUACAAUGAGAACAAAACCCUAUUUUUAAUAGAGGGUAGACCUCACCUAUUUAAAUAGAUUGAACAUGGGAGCGUUAUAUUUAUCGCCAUGUAAUGGUAUCUUGUCUUAGUGUUCGAUCUCAAAUAGCACAUGACAGUGAAAAGCAUGAUGCGUGGGGCGAUUUCUGGUCUGAAUCUCCUGCUCCUGGGACCAUUUUCAUGUUGAUCAGAAACCGCCACAAAUAGUCACGACAGACAAGACUUGGGGAGACGCACACUUCGUUACAGUCAAUGGGCACGUCUUUUCCAGGUUUUCCUCUAAGGGACCGGCCCUGUAAUACAAACACUCUGCAAACGUCCAGCUUCCAGCCCCGAGAGCAUUUUAGUCUAGGAGCAUCUUGGGCCAAGUAAGGGGUUGUUCCCACACAACGAGGGCUGCACAACGUGAUCCUCUCCCCUCGUAAUGAAAAGAAUACGAGCGAUUAUCUCAGGCUGUCGUCACCCUGGGUUCGUCGCGGGCCUCCGAUUCCAGCAAACACGGCCCAUGAACAGCUCGGUAUGACCACAUCGCACCAGUCGUACAGCUGACUGCAUUAUUCAAGCAUUGCUGGGUACCCUUUUCUUCUUUUAUUAUUGACAUUCAUGCCACCUACAACUCGCACAUACAGCUCUGCACAAAGAAAUAACAACCCCUACUUCUCCCUUGGGGGAAACAACAUUCUAUACAUCUGAAUUAUACUUUUCCAAAAGCUACUUCUUUCUUGCUUUACGUGCCUACAAAUAUGGGCGAUUAUGCUAAUGCUCACACCGAGCGGGAAGGUCAGGUUACAACAGGCCUGUGUACUGCACAGCGUGCGAUAAAAUGCACUAAAACUAUAAAACCUUGAAGGCUGGGGGAGCUCAGGCUCUCCGUUCCCUGGUUCUGACCCAGAUUUUCACCACCAGCUCACUUACUUUGCUGUUACUCUUUUACCCAUUUCAUUCAUCAUCAAUUAUUUAUCUGUAGCGCAAGCAUUUUUCAAGGUAUCAGCCUGACUUCAAACUUCAAUUUGUGCUGAAACAUGGACAAAGGCCACAAGGCAGCUUCCCUUCCAUCGCGGCUGUUAGUUAAUUUGUCUGUGUUAUACUCGGGCUUCAGAAACUGUUGAAGACCUAAAGUGUGCCUUUGCAAGGCUGCAUUGUUCUUGAUUUCCAGAGUCUAGCUCUCAUUCAUGCCCUGUUAUUCACAUUAAUAUACUGCUUUUGAAAUCAUGUCCUAUUUAAGAACAGUCGAACACUAUCUGUCUGAACUGUGCAGUACAACUUUGGGUUCACUUGGGAUUUGCCGCACACUAAAGUCAGUAUUUUUACAUGCACAUCAAAUCACAAGUGAAGAGGUGUUCUCUGUGCCCGUUAUUUUGGGCUUUAUGCUGUUCAGCAUCUAUCAGUUACUUUGCAUUCGAAAUAGCCUCUUGACGCACACAAAAUAUACGUUUCUGUAAUGUUCAUCUUUGUCUCAUCCCCUCAAAUCUUUCAUGAAAUAAAUGGACUUUAGCAUUCUGGUGUCACAUAGAUGAAAUAAGACCUGCGAGAUGUUCAAUGCUUUCCAGGGAUCUGCUAUUGAAGCACAGUUCUUUCCAGUUUACAACUUCUCUUUUUUUAUGAGCGAUGGACCAUUCCCCAUACCUGCCUAACAAGCGCUGCUCGCCCCAGGUGUGCUUGCAGCCUUUCACAAGCAGUGAAGCGUGGCGUACUCACACCUGCUGGAGAAAGGCAGCGUAUGGAGCCAAAUGCAGUAAAGUGUGCAUAAUAGCUUAUUAAUUUUUAAAGCAGCCCAACAAAGGCCAGAACAGAAUGGAUCCUCCAGUGAUUUUAUGACUGAUCUAUUGAGGUCCCUUCCGACCCUAACAUCUAUGAAUCUAUGAAUCUAUUUACACCCAAAGCCUUGACUGCUAAAAAAAAUUCUGAACAAGUUUGGUUAAACACCUAAAUUCAUGAAAGCCUUUGGCCACUGCAUCCAUGUUUUAAGUCCCGUACCCAAAUUUUAAAAUGUCAAUAUAUUAACUCAGUUCUUGAUAAUUUUGACCCUCUCUUUCGGUUCUCAAGUUCUCUUUUCUUCCCAGCCAGGCUAGCUAGAAAAACAGGAUCAGAGCAACUAAAUUAUGGGACUCUUCUGUAUUCAGGCAAGCUGCUUGGGGCAUUCAAAGUAAGAGGAACACGUUCUCUCAGGUUGUGCGAGACAAUAAAUAUACACAUCUCCACACGCUGCAUCUAACUCCAUUGUGUCAACAGGAGCUGGGGUCUCCAGAGAAAUACCGAAGUCGUCUCAGGAGCACCAUCUGAUGGGCUUUCAUUUUGGUUCACACGGUGGCCUUGCUACUCAAAGGUUUCCACUUUGGCCUCUGCCUGCAAUAGAAUAGGGGGGUUUUUUGCAAGCAAUUAAAAGUCUUCAGCUGCUGUUUGUUUGCUCUUGAACAGGAUCAUAUUUUUGGCUCAUAAACAGGAUGAUAACCCAAGAAGUAUGUUUAGGUCCAGACAACUGCAACAUCCUGGAAGUGUUGUUUGUACUCCUGGACCUCCAGGACUCUGCACCUGCAAUGUCUACCUCUUUCUAAAUAGGACCGGGACUCUCUCAUGCACUAUCCCAGGCUAUACUACCAAGAAAAGGGGAGCAGUUUCAUUUUCCCUCAUUAGUAUGCUUUUGCUCUUUAUAUUUGUCCUUUUUAGUUGCUUUGCACUGCCUUGUCCCCCAGGCAGCAAUGCAGUGAGCUCAGCAGAGCCAAAGGAAGAGGGAUCUUUCCACUAAUGCACUGAAGUGGGAGUGGGCGAGGGAUCUUUCCACUUUGCACCAAGACAAAAUGUAGGGGUAGGACACCUGUCAACCGGUUCUAGUGUCUGAAUGCAUCUCCCGGUCACCAAACCGCCACGCAACAAUUAGCAGCAUCUAUUCCAAGUUUGUUGAGUGAAAUGGCAGAGGUAUUUUUAAACACAGAUUACAGCACAGGGACUUUGUCUAGGACCCACCCUCGGUGAACUCUCUUGUGUAAAUUAAAACAGUGGCUAUCUCUGUUAAUGAUUAAACUAAAUGACUAUUUUCUAUUCCUA